UACGUAGGUGGCAAGCGUUGUCCGGAAUUAUUGGGCGUAAAGCGCGCGCAGGCGGCUUCUUAAGUCCAUCUUAAAAGUGCGGGGCUUAACCCCGUGAUGGGAUGGAAACUGGGAGGCUGGAGUAUCGGAGAGGAAAGUGGAAUUCCUGGUGUAGCGGUGAAAUGCGUAGAGAUUAGGAAGAACACCGGUGGCGAAGGCGACUUUCUGGACGACAACUGACGCUGAGGCGCGAAAGCGUGGGGAGCAAACAGG
RNAcentral lists this ribosomal RNA (252 nucleotides) under Dialister succinatiphilus YIT 11850. RNAcentral's name for it is "partial 16S ribosomal RNA". It matches the Rfam family "Bacterial small subunit ribosomal RNA", at positions 524 to 776 of the family's 1533-position model. The record is from RNAcentral. Lineage: Bacteria; Bacillati; Bacillota; Negativicutes; Veillonellales; Veillonellaceae.